UACGGGGGGGAGCAAGCGUUGUUCGGAUUUACUGGGCGUAAAGGGCGGGUAGGCGGCCACCGCAAGUCGACUGUGAAAUCUCCGGGCUUAACCCGGAAAGGUCAGCCGAUACUGCGGGGCUAGAGUGCAGAAGGGGCAACUGGAAUUCUCGGUGUAGCGGUGAAAAUGCGUAGAUAUCGAGAGGAACACCUGCGGCGAAGGCGGGUUGCUGGGCUGACACUGACGCUGAACUGCGAAAGCUAGGGGAGCGAACGGG
This 256-nucleotide ribosomal RNA is filed under the name uncultured bacterium. Its description in RNAcentral is "partial 16S ribosomal RNA". It matches the Rfam family "Bacterial small subunit ribosomal RNA", at positions 524 to 776 of the family's 1533-position model. The record is from RNAcentral.